CUUCCCCUUGUCAUGAAAGGUAAGUGGCUCCCAGCUGGCCCACCCUAAGUUAAUGACUCACAGGUGAAUAAUGGUUAGGUUUAAUUAGGACUUGGGCAUUUUUAGGGCUUCUUGGCAGGUUCAUCAAGAUUCACUUAUUGUAGGAAGAUGGAUUGGUUACAGGGAUUGGUCAUUUGGUUAUCUUCUCAAGCAAUUUCUAAGCUAAAAUCUGAACCACUGCUGUGCUCUUUUAGACCCUCUGCCUUUUUAAAUUACAAAAACAAACCGAAAACCUGGAAUGUAAAGAAAUUACCUUGGGUGCAACUUUAAGGGUAUAAAAAGGGAGUCAAGGAAAUGUUAGACCUCAUCGUGUCUUGAAAGUCCAGAACUGGGUUGGGGAUCCCAUCCAGGCUUGCCCAUGGUGCCCUGUGCUUCAUUCCUGGUAACAGAGAAGCCUGUUUGUCCAACUCUUCACUAUCCUGAAGCCAAUGAAUGGAUAAUUCGAUGAAACAGCACAAGUUUAAUAGCAGGUUGAAAGCAUCUAAAACGAAACAGUCCCUGUGGAUAUGGAGCCUCAUCUUCAGUGUGGGGGAAGAGUGAAGGACAAAAUGGAAAGAGGCCAGGAGCAUUGUGUUCUCUCCAAGUGGAAGGAAACCUCUGGAAUGGGAAAGAAGCAUUCUCUCCUAACAUGGCGUGGUCCUAGAAGGCAACUGAGUGUUUUUGAGAAGACUUCUUAUUUUUUAUGCCACCGCUAAAGAAGGUAUGUUAUCUUGUCAUCUUUCACCCUUAGGAGUUAGGCCAAGAAACUUGGUGCCCAGGGAUUUUGUUAGGUCAGUUUUGGUGUUUUGAAUUAACAUCAGGAGAAGACAUUUAACCAACUCACCCUAGUAUAAUUCUUGGAUUUGUAUUGCUUUGAUAUGUUCAAAGUUAUUUAUUAUUUCCUGAAUUUUGGAAGGCAGGACCACACUUAUCAGGGUGAUGGAAAGAAAAGCUUCAUUCUAGAUUUUAAGAUAACCAUAAUACUCUUCAAAAUUGUACUCACUUAUAUGUAACCUCAAAAACCAUUCACUUAUUCAUUCUUAAAUUCAUCUGUUUAGUCAUUAUGCAUGUAUUUUAACAUUCAGUAAGAAUUUAUGAGAUGUUUUUCACCUAUGUGCCAGUUACUAUACUAGGCAGAAGGAAAAGAAAGCCAAUUCUGUGUAUACAAAAGGCUAAAGGGACUCACAUAGUCCUAAAAGAGCUAGGACACUGUAUUGGCCAGCACCCCACCACACACAUAUCUGCUUUAGACCCUUUAGAUCCUGGUAUGCACUGAGGGUUGCAGAAAUGAUACAUAAACAUCUUUACUUGAUUUCUUCAUAUAAAGUGUGUAACAUUAGAUAUGUAACUUAGAUAUUUACAUGUGUCUGAGAGAUUUGUACGAGAAUUUUCAUAGCAGCUUUAUUUAAAACAACCCCAAACUACAAACGACCCAAAUGUUCAUUAACAGAUUAAUGGGAUUGGCUAACACUCAGCGAUAAAAAGAAACAAACUAUUAAUUACAUGCAACAGAUGAAUCUCAAGAUGAAUCUGUUGUAUGUACCAUUACAACAUAGUAACACAUACAAGCAAUAAUACAUACAGCAGAAGAAGCCAGAUUAAAAGAACAGGAACUAUCUGAUUCUACCGUGUGAAGUUAUAGAAUAGGCAAAAAUAAAUUACAGUGAAAGAAAUAAGAACAGUGGUCACAUCUGGAAGUAAGCAGUGAAGAGCAGACUACAAAGGGAUAUGAGGAAGCUUAGGGGGUGAUGGGAGUGUUUUGUAUUUUAAUUAGGGUGUUUGUUACCCGGCUGUGUACAUUUAUCAAAGCUCACCAAAUGACACAUUUACUGUACAUGGAUUUAAUGCACAAAGUGAACCUUAAAAUGUAAAGAAAAAGAUACAAAGGUACAAAUUGCUCAGAGAAUAAAAGCUCAAUUAAGCAUAUUUUUAAAAAAAUGAAACCUAUCAGAAACAUUUCAAACGCUUCUUGAACAACACUUAAAUAGGUCAUGAUUUAUAAUCUCCAGACACAGAACGUUUUUCUUCCUACCACCAAACUUUGUACCUUUAGGGAAAAAGUUUUAUUACAGAAAUAGAAUGUAAUAGGAAAAAUAAGCUGCUUCUUAAAUAUUUACCUUAAUACAUAAAGAAAACUAGGGACUGUCAUAAUUAGAACACAUGUAAGUCUUUUUUACCUAUGUAUAUUUAUAGCUGACUGCAUAUGAUUUUAGGUGAUAGUAAUUGCCAUUGUGUUUGAGUUUGUGAGUGUGUGUGGAGAAAUAACAGAAGGAAAGAGGAGAAGCAACAUUAGUGUAAUUUGAAGAACUGUAUGAAAUUAUUUCAGUACUGUCAAAUUAUCAUUUAUAAAAAGAAGAUAUAUUAUUGGUUGUUUUCAUGUGUAUUAAUUGACAUUCAAGCCAUCUGUAUCAUUUACUCAUAUAUGUUUAAUGGGGAUAGUAAAUAUCCCUCUGCCAGCUAGGAAAGAGCAUCUAUCAGGAGAGAUGACAGUCUUGGGGCUAUUACUCAGUGACUUGGUAGUAAAGGCUGAGCAUUUUCUUGAGGUUAUUAGAGUUGGAUUUUAAACUUCUUAUGUCAUAAUGUUUAUAGUAAGUAUAAACAUAUAAACCACAUUGUUUUAAUGGAUUUUUAAAACCUCCUACCAAAAAAAAAAAUCCACUUUAAA
Long non-coding RNA from Callithrix jacchus (white-tufted-ear marmoset), 2683 nucleotides. The record is from Ensembl. Lineage: Eukaryota; Metazoa; Chordata; Mammalia; Primates; Cebidae.